AUAUCUCUCUGUACGGGAAGGAUGAGAAGCUUCGACUAAGGUUCGAUUCGAGCGAAAGCGAGAAAGCGUUGCCGCA
This 76-nucleotide small RNA is filed under the name Salmonella enterica subsp. enterica serovar Oranienburg. Its description in RNAcentral is "partial RtT sRNA". It matches the Rfam family "RtT RNA", at positions 1 to 75 of the family's 130-position model. From Rfam's summary of the family: This family represents a bacterial cis-regulatory element known as RtT RNA. The exact function of RtT is unknown although it is thought that it may be involved in changing the cellular response in relation to amino acid starvation. The record is from RNAcentral. RNAcentral also lists the same sequence under 1 other name. Lineage: Bacteria; Pseudomonadati; Pseudomonadota; Gammaproteobacteria; Enterobacterales; Enterobacteriaceae.